Oncorhynchus tshawytscha (Chinook salmon) is the source of this 651-nucleotide long non-coding RNA. Lineage: Eukaryota; Metazoa; Chordata; Actinopteri; Salmoniformes; Salmonidae. The record is from Ensembl.
UCGAUAGGAUGCAUGGAACUGGUCGAUAGGAUGCAUGGAACUGGUCGAUAGGAUGCAUGGAACUGGUCGAUUGGAUGCAUGGACCUCAGGUCGAUAGGAUGCAUGGACCUGGUCGAUAGGAUGCAUGGACCUGGUCGAUAGGAUGCAUGGACCUCAGGUCGAUAGGAUGCAUGGAACUGGUCGAUAGGAUGCAUGGACCUCAGGUCGAUAGGAUGCAUGGAACUGGUCGAUAGGAUGCAUGGAACUGGUCGAUAGGAUGCAUGGACCUCAGGUCGAUAGGAUGCAUGGAACUGGUCGAUAGGAUGCAUGGAACUGGUCGAUAGGAUGCAUGGACCUCAGGUCGAUAGGAUGCAUGGAACUGGUCGAUAGGAUGCAUGGAACUGGUCGAUAGGAUGCAUGGAACUGGUCGAUAGGAUGCAUGGAACUGGUCGAUAGGAUGCAUGGAACUGGUCGAUAGGAUGCAUGGAACUGGUCGAUUGGAUGCAUGGACCUCAGGUCGAUAGGAUGCAUGGACCUGGUCGAUAGGAUGCAUGGACCUGGUCGAUAGGAUGCAUGGACCUCAGGUCGAUAGGAUGCAUGGACCUCAGGUCGAUAGGAUGCAUGGACCUCAGGUCGAUAGGAUGCAUGGACCUCAGGUCGAUAGGAUGCAUG